CCUACGGGAGGCAGCAGUGGGGGAUAUUGCACAAUGGAGGAAACUCUGAUGCAGCGACGCCGCGUGAGUGAAGAAGUAUUUCGGUAUGUAAAGCUCUAUCAGCUGGGAAUAAAAAAAUGAAGGUACCAGAGUAAGAAGCACCGGCUAAAUACGUGCCAGCCGCCGCGGUAAU
RNAcentral lists this ribosomal RNA (172 nucleotides) under uncultured bacterium. Its description in RNAcentral is "partial 16S ribosomal RNA". It matches the Rfam family "Bacterial small subunit ribosomal RNA", at positions 338 to 524 of the family's 1533-position model. The record is from RNAcentral.